AUGACCUCAACUCCUUUACAGCCAGGACACAGAUGGCAUUGCCCUUCACGCGUGGUGGAGAUAAAAGAGGCGGCUCCUGACAACUGCAAGAUGACGUCUCCUUUGGAUUGCGGCAAAGGUUCAGAUUUCCUGGAUCAAAUGUUCCCAAGGCCCGCGAGGUCGUGUGGUUUCAGAGACAUAAGCCAAGCUUGGUGUCUAUUACAGAGAAGCCACCCCAUCCAGGUGUGACCGCUCCAAAGUCAUAGGUGUGCACGGUGCAACGUCUGAAAACUUCUGAAAGACAGAAAUAGUUCAAGAUAGACCAUCCAUCCUCCUGCCACGCAGAGGUAACCACUGUUAAUCCUUUGGUGGUUCUGGUCCAGAUUUAUCUGAUACACAUGCACAAAUACAUUGGCCAAGGUGCAGUUUCAUGCUGUAUGGGGACGGGGAUGGUUAGGCAGUGAGCCAGUCAGAUGGGGCAAGGGGAACGGCGCUCGGCGUGGGAAGGGGGCUUGGACCAGUCCGCCAUUAGUUCUUAAUCCCUUAACCACGUAAGCAGACGUGUCCUAGAGGCGGACAAGGGAAGGGGCACAACCGGAAGAGUUAGCCCUCUUGACCCCCAGUCCGGGGAGGUGGGGAGAGACCCAUUCACAUCUCUAGGUUGAAGUGGAAGUGAUAUUCCAGGGCCCGUGACCCAUGACCUCCUCUCUGGGACUCAACCAGCAGGGGGAAAAAAUGAUGCCCAUGGGAGCAACAUACUCUUUGGAGGAUGAGAACACAGCAGGUCAGAACACUUUUAGCCUAGGAGCUCCCUGGUGGCUCAGCGGUUAAGGAUCUGGCAUUGUCACUGCUGUGGCUCAGAGUCUAUCCCUGGCCUGGGGACUAAUGCAUACAGCCAAAACAAAAAACAAAUAUACAAAAACAAAUCCAAACAAAUCAACUCUUUCAAUAUAAACAAAAAAUUAGCUGCCUCUGUCUGACUUUUCUGUUUUCAGCUGAAUUGGAAAAAUCCAGUCCUUCCUAAAGAGGCGG
RNAcentral lists this long non-coding RNA (1011 nucleotides) under Sus scrofa (pig). RNAcentral's name for it is "lncRNA (ENSSSCG00015041558.1)". The record is from RNAcentral. Lineage: Eukaryota; Metazoa; Chordata; Mammalia; Artiodactyla; Suidae.